RNAcentral lists this unclassified non-coding RNA (1040 nucleotides) under Hevea brasiliensis (rubber tree). Lineage: Eukaryota; Viridiplantae; Streptophyta; Magnoliopsida; Malpighiales; Euphorbiaceae. The record is from RNAcentral.
CUUCAACCACAAGGUAGAACAAAAAAAAUGGAUUAAUUAUUUUCUUUAUUUUACAAAUUGUCUUCUAUAGGUCUCUGUUAAAUCAUCAUUAAAAAAAAAAUUAUGUUCAUGGGACUCACCUGGUUCAAAUUUGACAGAUGAAACAAGGUUAGAACUUACAUGAUUUUUCUAAAUAAUAAUUAAUGGGAAAUUCAAAUGGUACAGAAGGGGACAUAUUGGAAUCCCCUUGAUAGGAUUUAACUCAUAUUACCUGAUUCCAAAGAAAAAAAUCUACCUACACCAAGCCCUUCACUCCUACACCUGGAAAAUAAACCCAAAGCCAUCGUCAUCCCCCACUCAGUUUCCAUCAAAAUGUCAGACCCUAAACACUCUCUAAUGUUCCACAUGUGAGAAAAGAUGUAUCAUCUCUUCAUACUCAAUUGCAUUGCUCUCCCUAUAGCUGUACAGAUGGUUGGUUUGGCUCCAAACCGAACUCCAGGAAUACGAACCCAUGUAUGAACCAAACUGAAAAAAUUCAAUACAAUUGAAUUUGUUGAUUUUGGGCAUUUUCUGCAGAAAUAAACAGUUAAGAGGAUUUGGGUAAAUUUUCUCAAGAAACAAACAGCCAAAGGUAAGGAAUCCAAAGCAAAAGAAUCAAAUUCAUCAUUCAAAGAAACUCAAACUUCAAUAAUAGAAGUAUCAAACUUCAGGUUAAAAGAAAGGGGGAAUGAACAAUCAAUAAAUAACCCAACAAAUACUCAAAACUUCAACAUAAGACCCAACAAAUAGAUGCUUUCCAGACCAAUAUCUGUAAAAAAACUACAGUUUUCCCAGCCCUCGAUAGAGAUUGAGCACCGUCACCAAAGUUGCCCAAGGGAGGAGCCUGAGAAAGGAGGAGGCGGAUCCAAGGACCAUGAAAACAAGCAGCAAGAGAUGGGUCUGUGGAGUCGAGAACGAGAACAGAGAUGAGAGAGAGGUUUAUCUGCACAUCACUUUCUGAGAAUGAAGAAGAAUAGCAAGAAGAAGAAGAAGAAGAGGGGGGAGAGAGAGAGAGAGAGAGA